CAUGGUUGCUGUGUGUGUGUGUGUGUGUGUGUGUGUGUGUGUUUGCAAAAGCAGUUUAGGCUCUGGAAUUGCAAGCUGUUAAGACCAGGGCUGCUUUGCUAUCUCCUAUCUUUGUUCCUCACCUCAUUUUGAAGGAUUGUUACACAUUUCAAAAGAUAAGAAGUGUGACGGUGGCCGUGACCACCAUAAUUACAGAUGUGGGAAGUUGACUUCCUAAGAUCCCAGACACCAGUGGAGAACAGAGUGGCCUGGAGGCCGAGGCAAUUCCUAGCUAGCUAUCUGAGUCUUGGCCUUCAUUCCAGAGAAUCUGGGAGUCCAGCCAUGUCAGAUGCCAUAAAGGGUCAUGGACUUCUGGCUGCUUGUACUCACAUCCCUGGAUAUCUGAGACUUCCUUCUCAUCUUUUAAAAUGUUCACUGUGAAGCCCUUCUUGAUCCAGCUCAGGUGUGUUGGCUGACCCCUUCUCUAUGUGAAUAAAUUUUAACAGCAACUGUGGCUAUUUAGAUAAAUUCAUUAACUAAUUAAUUCAAAUGUCUCUUUAAACUGGUGCAGCCACUCUGGAAAACUGUGUGGAGGUUCCUCAAAGAGUUAAAAAUAGACCUGCCCUACGACCCAGCAAUUGCACUGUUGGGGAUUU
Molecule: long non-coding RNA, 635 nt
Filed under: Canis lupus familiaris (dog)
Lineage: Eukaryota; Metazoa; Chordata; Mammalia; Carnivora; Canidae
Description: lncRNA (ENSCAFG00000047337.2, ENSCAFG00845023006.1)
Source: RNAcentral